CAUACAUGAUUAUAUAUGCUAAUUCAUCAAUCAUAGCAUGAAGUUUCACAUAUGGAAUAAGGCACACUCCCUAAAAUACGUUGAAAAUGAUACUUUCACUUAUUUGUACCUUAAUUCCUGAGAUUACACAGCUCUCUUUUUGAUGUUGCACAUUUAGACUUGUAAAUCAAUAUUAGGAAUAUGAAGUAUGCAGUUUAUCAAUAUAAUCUCUAUAAACACAACAGGCAAUUUGUGAUGCCCACAUGAGGAUCACAAGUCUAAAUGCGUCAUGGCCAGGCAGUGUCCAUGAUUCAUGGAUUUGGAACGAUUCAGCCUUAAAAGACCAGUUUGAAAAUGGGUUACAUGACGGGCUUCUACUGGGAGAUUCUGGUUAUGCUUGCAGGAAGUACUUGAUGGCUCCAUUUCUCCAGCCUGUAGGCAGAGGUCAAGAACGAUUUAACAGAAGCUUGUGUAGAACUAGAUAACUAAUAGAACAGACUUUUGGUGUUUUGAAGGCUAGAUUUCCAUGCUUAAGAUUCGGACUCAUGACAUCAGAAAUGGUAGUUUUAACUACUUCUGCUUGUGUUGUGCUUCACAACAUCGGAAUCUUCAUGUUGGAUGUAGUGGAUGUGGAGCUUGAGCAUGACAAUCAGCUCCACAUCCAAGACCAGGAUUGCGCGGUGCAGCAGCAUGUGGUCACAUAGACAUGGUCAAUUUUUUCCUGGCUAGAGGAGCUGAUCCGGCUAAGUCUGAUGUCUUGGGCCAAGCAGCUGAGGAAGGUCACACAGACAUUGUGAAGAUAUUUCUGGAAAAAGGAGCCGACGUUAAUAAG
Long non-coding RNA from Pecten maximus, 811 nucleotides. RefSeq lists it as uncharacterized. The record is from RefSeq and is a predicted model, not a curated record. Lineage: Eukaryota; Metazoa; Mollusca; Bivalvia; Pectinida; Pectinidae. The transcript has 4 exons.